Molecule: ribosomal RNA, 462 nt
Filed under: uncultured bacterium
Lineage: Bacteria
Description: partial 16S ribosomal RNA
Rfam family: Bacterial small subunit ribosomal RNA
Source: RNAcentral
GACGAACGCUGGCGGCGUGCUUAACACAUGCAAGUCGAACGGUGAACCCCUUCGGGGUGGAUCAGUGGCGAACGGGUGAGUAACACGUGAGCAACCUGCCCCUGGCUCUGGGACAACCACUGGAAACGGUGGCUAAUACCGGAUACGACCCGCCUCGGCAUCGAGUGUGGGUGGAAAGUUUUUCGGCUGGGGAUGGGCUCGCGGCCUAUCAGCUUGUUGGUGAGGUGAAGGCUCACCAAGGCGACGACGGGUAGCCGGCCUGAGAGGGCGACCGGCCACACUGGGACUGAGACACGGCCCAGACUCCUACGGGAGGCAGCAGUGGGGAAUAUUGCACAAUGGGCGAAAGCCUGAUGCAGCGACGCCGCGUGAGGGAUGACGGCCUUCGGGUUGUAAACCUCUUUCAGCUCCGAAGAAGCGAAAGUGACGGUAGGAGCAGAAGAAGCACCGGCUAACUACGUG